This 402-nucleotide ribosomal RNA is filed under the name uncultured bacterium. RNAcentral's name for it is "bacterial SSU rRNA". It matches the Rfam family "Bacterial small subunit ribosomal RNA", at positions 355 to 774 of the family's 1533-position model. The record is from RNAcentral.
UGGGGAAUCUUGCACAAUGGGGGCAACCCUGAUGCAGCGACGCCGCGUGAGCGAUGAAGCCCUUCGGGGCGUAAAGCUCUUUCGACCGGAACGAUAAUGACGGUACCGGGAGAAGAAGCUGCGGCUAACUACGUGCCAGCAGCCGCGGUAAUACGUAGGCAGCAAGCGUUGUUCGGAGUUACUGGGCGUAAAGAGAGCGUAGGCGGUUUUCUAAGUUCGGUGUGAAAUCUCCCGGCUUAACUGGGAGGGUGCGCCGAAGACUGGGAAGCUGGAGUGUGGGAAAGGCAGGCGGAAUUCCUGGUGUAGCGGUGAAAUGCGUAGAUAUCAGGAGGAACACCGGCGGUGUAGACGGCUUGCUAGACCAUAACUGACGCUGAGGCACGAAAGCGUGGGUAGCAAACA